RNAcentral lists this ribosomal RNA (500 nucleotides) under uncultured bacterium. RNAcentral describes it as "partial 16S ribosomal RNA". It matches the Rfam family "Bacterial small subunit ribosomal RNA", at positions 30 to 523 of the family's 1533-position model. The record is from RNAcentral.
AUUGAACGCCGGCGGCAUGCUUUACACAUGCAAGUCGAACGGUAACAGGGUGCUUGCACCGCUGACGAGUGGCGAACGGGUGAGUAAUGCGUCGGAACGUGCCGAGUAGUGGGGGAUAACGCAGCGAAAGUUGUGCUAAUACCGCAUACGUACUGAGGUAGAAAGUGGGGGACCUUCGGGCCUCACGCUAUUCGAGCGGCCGACGUCUGAUUAGCUAGUAGGUGAGGUAAAGGCUCACCUAGGCGACGAUCAGUAGCGGGUCUGAGAGGAUGAUCCGCCACACUGGGACUGAGACACGGCCCAGACUCCUACGGGAGGAAGCAGUGGGGAAUUUUGGACAAUGGGCGAAAGCCUGAUUCAGCCAUGCCGCGUGUCUGAAGAAGGCCUUCGGGUUGUAAAGGACUUUUGUCAGGGAGGAAAUCCCUAGUGCUAAUAACACUGGGGGAUGACAGUACCUGAAGAAUAAGCACCGGCUAACUACGUGCCAGCCGCCGCCGUAA